AGUGGUUAGGCGUUUGGCUGCAAACCAAAAGGUUGGUAGUUAGAACCCACCAGCCACUC
This 59-nucleotide transfer RNA is filed under the name Loxodonta africana (African savanna elephant). It matches the Rfam family "tRNA", at positions 14 to 71 of the family's 71-position model. Rfam says of the family: Transfer RNA (tRNA) molecules are approximately 80 nucleotides in length. Their secondary structure includes four short double-helical elements and three loops (D, anti-codon, and T loops). Lineage: Eukaryota; Metazoa; Chordata; Mammalia; Proboscidea; Elephantidae. The record is from Rfam by way of RNAcentral.